CCCUUAGAUGUUCUGGGCCGCACGCGCGCUACACUGAUGCAUUCAACGAGUCUAAAACCUGGUCUGAGAGGGCUGGGUAAUCUUUUGAAAGUGCAUCGUGAUUGGGAUAGAUGAUUGCAAUUCUUCAUCUUCAACGAGGAAUGCCUAGUAAACGCAAGUCAUCAGCUUGCAUUGAUUACGUCCCUGCCCUUUGUACACACCGCCCGUCGCUCCUACCGAUUGAACGAUCCGAUGAAAACUGUGGAUUGAGAGUCUGAGUGGGUUCGCCUACCUCAACUUUCGCGAAGCGGUUUAAAUCUUAUCGUUUAGAGGAAGGAGAAGUCGUAACA
Molecule: ribosomal RNA, 329 nt
Filed under: uncultured eukaryote
Lineage: Eukaryota
Description: partial 18S ribosomal RNA
Rfam family: Eukaryotic small subunit ribosomal RNA
Source: RNAcentral